Klebsiella pneumoniae ISC21 is the source of this 143-nucleotide non-coding RNA. NCBI's taxonomy places the organism in Bacteria, Pseudomonadati, Pseudomonadota, Gammaproteobacteria, Enterobacterales, Enterobacteriaceae. The record is from Rfam.
CAAUAACAGGUUCGUCACGCGUGGUAUCCGGACGGUAAUGGUAAACCGUUCUGCUCAGGUUCAGACUCCGGCAGGCCUGACGGAUACUGAGUCCAAAUGUCGUUAUCAGAUGAGUGACCAGCUCACGCUUAAAGGCUGGUUUU